UUAAGCACAGUGGGAAUCUGUGGGGGUGCACUCAAAAAAUCUUCAGACGGCAAAUCCCAAAUGCAUAGCGGGGUUCGUGUUCCUUGUACAGCUGAGAGACACGGCGGUGUCAGACAGAAGGCUCGUGCUUUUUAAGUCUGAUCCUCUCCGUGUCGCCGUGCCAGACUCUUUCGGCGGCUGCAGCGGGCCUUAGCGUGGCAGCGCUCGCCCCUCCGCGGGAUUUUCCACUCACCGUGGCAAACGUCUAUCAGAUCAGACACAUUAAGAAGCUAAUUGUCCCCCUUGGGUUGGACUGUUCAUUAUCUGAGCCAGUGCACAGGAUGCAGUGAAGCAGGGAAAGGAAUGGAGGCCACGGCAAGCUGACACAUACAAGCACGAAAACCUGCUGGGACGUUUUCUCCUCUACCACCUUCCCGAAGCCUCAAACCGAAUAAUCAGCCUCCAUUGCACUAUGUAUGAGCCCAGGGCCGACAUGGCAUCAACAUGAUCCAAUACAAGACGAGUGGAUAUGAACCUGGGCCAGGAAAGAGAAAGAGGACUCACUUUGUGAGCUUGAUAAGUUCACUUCUGGUGUGAGAACAUUAACAUUUCUCACUCAAAGACAAAAAAAUAGCGAGCCAGUAUGGUGAUGGGCCAUCACAGGAAAGUCUUGGAGUCGUUCCACUGGUAUAGAGAGGCUGCCAGGAUGCAUAUACAGCAUUAGUAUUUCAAGGUGACUUCCUGGGCAAGUUUUCGGGUUUAUAACAGUGGUUGUCAUAAUACAUUCUUCUUUGUCCAGAUUUAUGUUGGAUUGUGGUUUCUUUAAGGCUGCUGUGUUUUCAUGUUUCCAAUGUAAUGUGACAGAUCGAAUGGCUUUGACUAUUUGAAAGAUGUUGCUUGUAAUAGUAAAAUUAAUG
Long non-coding RNA from Acanthopagrus latus (yellowfin seabream), 896 nucleotides. RefSeq lists it as uncharacterized. Lineage: Eukaryota; Metazoa; Chordata; Actinopteri; Spariformes; Sparidae. The transcript is spliced from 3 exons. The record is from RefSeq and is a predicted model, not a curated record.